GGGUUGUGAGGUUAAGCGACUAAGCGUACACGGUGGAUGCCCUGGCAGUCAGAGGCGAUGAAGGACGUGCUAAUCUGCGAUAAGCGUCGGUAAGGUGAUAUGAACCGUUAUAACCGGCGAUUUCCGAAUGGGGAAACCCAGUGUGUUUCGACACACUAUCAUUAACUGAAUCCAUAGGUUAAUGAGGCGAACCGGGGGAACUGAAACAUCUAAGUACCCCGAGGAAAAGAAAUCAACCGAGAUUCCCCCAGUAGCGGCGAGCGAACGGGGAGCAGCCCAGAGCCUGAAUCAGUGUGUGUGUUAGUGGAAGCGUCUGGAAAGGCGCGCGAUACAGGGUGACAGCCCCGUACACAAAAAUGCACAUGCUGUGAGCUCGAUGAGUAGGGCGGGACACGUGGUAUCCUGUCUGAAUAUGGGGGGACCAUCCUCCAAGGCUAAAUACUCCUGACUGACCGAUAGUGAACCAGUACCGUGAGGGAAAGGCGAAAAGAACCCCGGCGAGGGGAGUGAAAAAGAACCUGAAACCGUGUACGUACAAGCAGUGGGAGCACGCUUAGGCGUGUGACUGCGUACCUUUUGUAUAAUGGGUCAGCGACUUAUAUUCUGUAGCAAGGUUAACCGAAUAGGGGAGCCGAAGGGAAACCGAGUCUUAACUGGGCGUUAAGUUGCAGGGUAUAGACCCGAAACCCGGUGAUCUAGCCAUGGGCAGGUUGAAGGUUGGGUAACACUAACUGGAGGACCGAACCGACUAAUGUUGAAAAAUUAGCGGAUGACUUGUGGCUGGGGGUGAAAGGCCAAUCAAACCGGGAGAUAGCUGGUUCUCCCCGAAAGCUAUUUAGGUAGCGCCUCGUGAAUUCAUCUCCGGGGGUAGAGCACUGUUUCGGCAAGGGGGUCAUCCCGACUUACCAACCCGAUGCAAACUGCGAAUACCGGAGAAUGUUAUCACGGGAGACACACGGCGGGUGCUAACGUCCGUCGUGAAGAGGGAAACAACCCAGACCGCCAGCUAAGGUCCCAAAGUCAUGGUUAAGUGGGAAACGAUGUGGGAAGGCCCAGACAGCCAGGAUGUUGGCUUAGAAGCAGCCAUCAUUUAAAGAAAGCGUAAUAGCUCACUGGUCGAGUCGGCCUGCGCGGAAGAUGUAACGGGGCUAAACCAUGCACCGAAGCUGCGGCAGCGACGCUUAUGCGUUGUUGGGUAGGGGAGCGUUCUGUAAGCCUGCGAAGGUGUGCUGUGAGGCAUGCUGGAGGUAUCAGAAGUGCGAAUGCUGACAUAAGUAACGAUAAAGCGGGUGAAAAGCCCGCUCGCCGGAAGACCAAGGGUUCCUGUCCAACGUUAAUCGGGGCAGGGUGAGUCGACCCCUAAGGCGAGGCCGAAAGGCGUAGUCGAUGGGAAACAGGUUAAUAUUCCUGUACUUGGUGUUACUGCGAAGGGGGGACGGAGAAGGCUAUGUUGGCCGGGCGACGGUUGUCCCGGUUUAAGCGUGUAGGCUGGUUUUCCAGGCAAAUCCGGAAAAUCAAGGCUGAGGCGUGAUGACGAGGCACUACGGUGCUGAAGCAACAAAUGCCCUGCUUCCAGGAAAAGCCUCUAAGCAUCAGGUAACAUCAAAUCGUACCCCAAACCGACACAGGUGGUCAGGUAGAGAAUACCAAGGCGCUUGAGAGAACUCGGGUGAAGGAACUAGGCAAAAUGGUGCCGUAACUUCGGGAGAAGGCACGCUGAUAUGUAGGUGAAGCGACUUGCUCGUGGAGCUGAAAUCAGUCGAAGAUACCAGCUGGCUGCAACUGUUUAUUAAAAACACAGCACUGUGCAAACACGAAAGUGGACGUAUACGGUGUGACGCCUGCCCGGUGCCGGAAGGUUAAUUGAUGGGGUUAGCCGCAAGGCGAAGCUCUUGAUCGAAGCCCCGGUAAACGGCGGCCGUAACUAUAACGGUCCUAAGGUAGCGAAAUUCCUUGUCGGGUAAGUUCCGACCUGCACGAAUGGCGUAAUGAUGGCCAGGCUGUCUCCACCCGAGACUCAGUGAAAUUGAACUCGCUGUGAAGAUGCAGUGUACCCGCGGCAAGACGGAAAGACCCCGUGAACCUUUACUAUAGCUUGACACUGAACAUUGAGCCUUGAUGUGUAGGAUAGGUGGGAGGCUUAGAAGUGUGGACGCCAGUCUGCAUGGAGCCGACCUUGAAAUACCACCCUUUAAUGUUUGAUGUUCUAACGUUGACCCGUAAUCCGGGUUGCGGACAGUGUCUGGUGGGUAGUUUGACUGGGGCGGUCUCCUCCUAAAGAGUAACGGAGGAGCACGAAGGUUGGCUAAUCCUGGUCGGACAUCAGGAGGUUAGUGCAAUGGCAUAAGCCAGCUUGACUGCGAGCGUGACGGCGCGAGCAGGUGCGAAAGCAGGUCAUAGUGAUCCGGUGGUUCUGAAUGGAAGGGCCAUCGCUCAACGGAUAAAAGGUACUCCGGGGAUAACAGGCUGAUACCGCCCAAGAGUUCAUAUCGACGGCGGUGUUUGGCACCUCGAUGUCGGCUCAUCACAUCCUGGGGCUGAAGUAGGUCCCAAGGGUAUGGCUGUUCGCCAUUUAAAGUGGUACGCGAGCUGGGUUUAGAACGUCGUGAGACAGUUCGGUCCCUAUCUGCCGUGGGCGCUGGAGAACUGAGGGGGGCUGCUCCUAGUACGAGAGGACCGGAGUGGACGCAUCACUGGUGUUCGGGUUGUCAUGCCAAUGGCACUGCCCGGUAGCUAAAUGCGGAAGAGAUAAGUGCUGAAAGCAUCUAAGCACGAAACUUGCCCCGAGAUGAGUUCUCCCUGACUCCUUGAGAGUCCUGAAGGAACGUUGAAGACGACGACGUUGAUAGGCCGGGUGUGUAAGCGCAGCGAUGCGUUGAGCUAACCGGUACUAAUGAACCGUGAGGCUUAACCUUACAACGCCGAAG
Molecule: ribosomal RNA, 2927 nt
Filed under: Escherichia coli
Lineage: Bacteria; Pseudomonadati; Pseudomonadota; Gammaproteobacteria; Enterobacterales; Enterobacteriaceae
Description: partial 23S ribosomal RNA
Rfam family: Bacterial large subunit ribosomal RNA
Source: RNAcentral